UGGGGAAUAUUGGACAAUGGGCGAAAGCCUGAUCCAGCCAUUCCGCGUGUGUGAAGAAGGUCUUCGGAUUGUACAGCACUUUAAGUUGGGAGGAAGGGCAGUAAGCGAAUACCUUGCUGUUUUGACGUUACUCGCAGAAUAAGCACCGGCUAACUCUGUGCCAGCAGCCGCGGUAAUACAGAGGGUGCGAGCGUUAAUCGGAUUUACUGGGCGUAAAGCGUGCGUAGGCGGCUAAUUGAGUCGGAUGUGAAAUCCCCGAGCUUAACGUGGGAAUUGCAUUCGAUACUGGUUAGCUAGAGUGUGGGAGAGGAUGGUAGAAUUCCAGGUGUAGCGGUGAAAUGCGUAGAGAUCUGGAGGAAUACCGAUGGCGAAGGCAGCCAUCUGGCCUAACACUGACGCUGAGGUACGAAAGCAUGGGGAGCAAACAGG
RNAcentral lists this ribosomal RNA (429 nucleotides) under Pseudomonadota bacterium. RNAcentral's name for it is "Proteobacteria bacterium partial 16S ribosomal RNA". It matches the Rfam family "Bacterial small subunit ribosomal RNA", at positions 355 to 776 of the family's 1533-position model. The record is from RNAcentral. Lineage: Bacteria; Pseudomonadati; Pseudomonadota.